Camelina sativa (false flax) is the source of this 2619-nucleotide non-coding RNA. NCBI's taxonomy places the organism in Eukaryota, Viridiplantae, Streptophyta, Magnoliopsida, Brassicales, Brassicaceae. The record is from RefSeq and is a predicted model, not a curated record.
AGAAGGAGAAAUGCAUCACAUAUUCCCACUCUUUUAGGAUUUAUGCUCUCGAUGUAAGUUUCAACAUUUGGAGUUGUUCUUGACAUGGUGGUCACAGGAAGCUAGAAUUUGACUCCCUUCUCUCUCUUUCUUUCUUCCUAAGUUUCAACAGUUGGAGCUGUUCUUGGCAUGGUCACAGAUAGGAGAAUCAAAUGGUCUUCAGGUUUCUUCUGUUUUUCUUGGAUUGAAAUUAUGCAAAACUUUGGUGACUCAUGAAAGGCAGAGAGUGUGUUGCUUGUUUUUUCCCAUCGCUUGUGGAUUGAAGAGGAAGAGAUGGUACAAGACUAGUCUUGGAGUUGGAAGUAUUAUAGGGGAGGAGGAUUCGAAGAUAUUAAGUUAUUUUCACCGAUGAUAGUUUCUUGUUUAUUUAUGUGUUACAUAUCUUGAUAGGGUGUCAAUGCAUGAUUCAAAUUACGUGUAGAUUUGAUAUUCCAAGAGGAGGGUGACUAAGCCAUGGCUGCCUGUCUCGCUCCUGCUAGGCUAUUGCCAACUCUUGUUUUCUUUAAAACGAGGGACUGCAAAUCUGUAACCUUGUAGUGGUCUUCUUUUGGAAUUACUCCUCAACAGCUUCUCAAAGGAUCACAACAAGCAGCAAUAUGGAUGGGGCGGUGGUGCAAAAACCAACAGCUUGUCAUAAGGUGAAUGGAGCACAACAAUUGUUCUCAUCAACAAUAUGGAGUGGCCUCAAGGAUUGUCAAAUACGCUCAAGACUAGCUUGUCAUAAUGUCACAACUCACAACAAUGGCUCCCUGCAGCAAUAUGGAGGGGAUAAUGCUAUGAUGAUCGAUUGGUGAUUAAGGAGGAUGCUUCUAAUAUAUGUCGGUGAUGGAGGUGGUGCAAAAACCAACAGCUUGUAUCAUACCGUUGUCAAAGGAUCACAACAGUGGCUCCCUGCAGAGCAAUAUGGAGGGGGUUAAGAUUGCAGUUAUAUGAGACGUGCUUAUUAUAUAUGUCUGCUUAUUUCUUUAUCUCUUGUCUCUAGUUAACUUUGGUAUGCAAUUUUUUUUUUGCUGCAUCAGCCUCAAGGAUUGUCUAAUACGGCUUGUCAUAAUGUCACAACAAUGGAUUCCCUGCGGCAAUAUAGAGCGCCUCAAGGAUUGUCAUAUUUUCUCAGGACUACGAGUGAAAGGCAUCAGUUGAAAUGAUGAUGAUGAUGACUUGCUAAAGCGCAAAACCAAUCAUGGUUUCUGAGAUGCUUGCCAUGAUCUCACUUUGAUGGUUGCUGCAGUAACGUCUUUAGCACUUGGGAUCAACACAGAGGUUUCUGAUUGUCGUCACAGCUACUGUCAGUGUCUACAUACAGUCUCUCAACAAACUUGAAUGAUGAAAAGAGAAAGAUACAUCUCGAGGUGACAAGAGGUGGAAGACGAGUGGAUAAAUCAAUCUAUGACUUCGUGGUGGGUGAUGUCUUGGCAAUCAGGUUCCUGCGGGUGGAGUGCUAAUAUCUGGCCACUCUCUUUCCCUUGAUGAGUCUAGCAUGACUGGAGAGCAAAAUCGUCUCAAUCUGAUUUUGGCAACAGUGGCGUUUCGGUAACAGCCACUUUUCUUGUUUUUGGACGAUACUCUUUUGCAUGGUUUCUCUGGUGAUUGAAAUUAUGCAAAACUUUGGUGACUCAUGAAAGGCAGAGAGUGUGUUGCUUGUUUUUUCCCAUCGCUUGUGGAUUGAAGAGGAAGAGAUGGUACAAGACUAGUCUUGGAGUUGGAAGUAUUAUAGGGGAGGAGGAUUUAAAGAUAUUAAGUUAUUUUCACCGAUGAUAGUUUCUUGUUUAUUUAUGUGUUACAUAUCUUGAUAGGGUGUCAAUGCAUGAUUCAAAUUACGUGUAGAUUUGAUAUUCUAAGAUAUGGAUUUUCAUGUUCCUUAUGUUCUUCAGCUAGAUAAUUAGAUGAUGUCUAAGGUCUGUGUGGUUAGUUAGCUAAAGUUACUGCAGAAUAAUUUAUUUAUCUCUUAUAUGUGGGUUCACUACUUUGUGUUAGGAUACUCUGGCAUUUCCUUUAGGUUUUUUAGUUGAUGGUUUUGUAAUAGUUGGUUUACAAAGUCUAAUUGGGUUUCUUUGGCUAAGAAAUUGCUUUUUGACUAAUCAUCACCUUUUUUUUUUUGGGUUAUUUAUUUUCUACUGUUUGAUUCAUGGUUCAAGGUUGGCUCCAGAUAUUAAAAUGUUACUGAACACUCUUUUUCUGAAACUUAAUCGGUCUUAUUGGAUGCGUUUCAUUCUCUCUCUUGAAUGAAUUACGGUCCCUAGGAAAUUUACAAGCAAAGUUGAGGGGAAGAGGAGUUAUAUAUGAACAUAAGACAUAUGUCAGUCUGAUCUAGCAUUGAGAACCAAGGACCAAGGAAAAGGGCUGCUGCUUUAGCUAUCUUAACUUAUGCCUGUAAUUUUUCUUACGGGAUCAAGUUCUUAGCAAGUUGGUGUUGCUGCAUCAACAUUACUCAAACUUGGGGUUUCAACAUGAUCAGUCUAGAAGUGGGAACCAAGGAUCAAGGCAGAGAGCUGUUGAGAUAACAAGCUCUCCGGACUCCGAGCUGAAGCGCCAUCAACACUUCUUCGUGUUGUGUCUUUUUGCGGGUUUUAUAAAUCACUC